Molecule: ribosomal RNA, 253 nt
Filed under: uncultured bacterium
Lineage: Bacteria
Description: partial 16S ribosomal RNA
Rfam family: Bacterial small subunit ribosomal RNA
Source: RNAcentral
UACGAAGGGUGCAAGCGUUGUUCGGAAUAACUGGGCGUAAAGGGCGCGUAGGCGGGUUGGUAAGUUAGAUGUGAAAUCCCCGGGCUUAACCUGGGAACUGCAUCUAAUACUGCCGAUCUUGAAUGUUCGAGAGGGUGGUGGAAUUCCCGGUGUAGAAGUGAAAUUCGUAGAUAUCGGGAGGAACAUCCGAGGCGAAGGCGGCCACCUGGCGAAACAUUGACGCUGAGGCGCGAAAGCGUGGGGAUCAAACAGG